This 425-nucleotide ribosomal RNA is filed under the name uncultured Rhodobacter sp. Its description in RNAcentral is "bacterial SSU rRNA". It matches the Rfam family "Bacterial small subunit ribosomal RNA", at positions 354 to 796 of the family's 1533-position model. Lineage: Bacteria; Pseudomonadati; Pseudomonadota; Alphaproteobacteria; Rhodobacterales. The record is from RNAcentral.
GUGGGGAAUCUUAGACAAUGGGCGCAAGCCUGAUCUAGCCAUGCCGCGUGAGCGAUGAAGGCCUUAGGGUUGUAAAGCUCUUUCAGUGGGGAAGAUAAUGACUGUACCCACAGAAGAAGCCCCGGCUAACUCCGUGCCAGCAGCCGCGGUAAUACGGAGGGGGCUAGCGUUGUUCGGAAUUACUGGGCGUAAAGCGCACGUAGGCGGACUGGAAAGUCAGAGGUGAAAUCCCAGGGCUCAACCUUGGAACUGCCUUUGAAACUCCCGGUCUUGAGGUCGAGAGAGGUGAGUGGAAUUCCGAGUGUAGAGGUGAAAUUCGUAGAUAUUCGGAGGAACACCAGUGGCGAAGGCGGCUCACUGGCUCGAUACUGACGCUGAGGUGCGAAAGCGUGGGGAGCAAACAGGAUUAGAAACCCUAGUAGUCC